GACGAACGCUGGCGGCGUGCUUAACACAUGCAAGUCGAACGGAAAGGCCCUGCUUUUGUGGGGUGCUUGAGUGGCGCACGGGUGAGUAACACGCGAGUAACCUGCCCUUGACUUUGGGAUAACUUCAGGAAACUGGGGCUCAUAUCGGAUAGGAGCUCUUGCUGCAUGGUGGGGGUUGGAAAGUUUCGGCGGUUGGGGAUGGACUCGCGGCUUAUCCGCUUGUUGGUGGGGUAGUGGCUUACCAAGGCUUUGACGGGUAGCCGGCCUGAGAGGGUGACCGGCCACAUUGGGACUAAGAUACGGCCCAGACUCCUACGGGAGGCAGCAGUGGGAAAUAUUGCACAGUGGGCGGAAGCCUGAUGCAGCAACGCCGCGUGCGGGAUGACGGCCUUCGGGUUGUAAACCGCUUUCGCCUGUGACGAAGCGUGAGUGACGGUAAUGGGUAAAGAAGCACCGGCUAACUACGUG
RNAcentral lists this ribosomal RNA (468 nucleotides) under uncultured bacterium. RNAcentral's name for it is "partial 16S ribosomal RNA". It matches the Rfam family "Bacterial small subunit ribosomal RNA", at positions 28 to 507 of the family's 1533-position model. The record is from RNAcentral.